Molecule: ribosomal RNA, 423 nt
Filed under: uncultured bacterium
Lineage: Bacteria
Description: partial 16S ribosomal RNA
Rfam family: Bacterial small subunit ribosomal RNA
Source: RNAcentral
GAAUCUUCCGCAAUGGACGAAAGUCUGACGGAGCAACGCCGCGUGAGUGAUAAAGGUUUUCGGAUCGUAAAACUCUGUUGUCAGGGAAGAAAACGUACGGGAGUAACUGUCCGUACCUUGACGUUACCUGACCAGAAAGCCACGGCUAACUACAUUCCAGCAGCCGCGGUAACACGUAGGUGGCAAGCGUAUUCCGGAAUUCUUGGGCGUAAAGCGCUCGCAGGCGGUCUUUUAAGUCUGAUGUGAAAGCCCACGGCUCAACCGUGGAAGGUCAUUGGAAACUGGAAGACUUGAGUGCAGAAGAGAAGAGCGGAAUUCCACGUGUAGCGGUGAAAUGCGUAGAGAUGUGGAGGAACACCAGUGGCGAAGGCGGCUCUUUGGUCUGUAACUGACGCUGAGGCGCGAAAGCGUGGGGAGCAAACA